GGUAGUCCACGCCGUAAACGAUGGGUGCUAGGUGUCGGGGGUAUCGACCCCCCGGUGCCGUCGCCAACGCAGUAAGCACCCCGCCUGGGGACUACGGCCGCAAGGCUAAAACUCAAAGGAAUUGACGGGGGCCCGCACAAGCAGCGGAGCGUGUGGUUUAAUUCGAUGCAACGCGAAGAACCUUACCCGGGCUUGACAUGCACGUGGUACCCGAGGGAAACCGAGGGGACCCGCGAGGGAGCGUGCGCAGGUGCUGCACGGCUGUCGUCAGCUCGUGCCGUGAGGUGUUGGGUUAAG
This 297-nucleotide ribosomal RNA is filed under the name uncultured bacterium. Its description in RNAcentral is "partial 16S ribosomal RNA". It matches the Rfam family "Bacterial small subunit ribosomal RNA", at positions 789 to 1084 of the family's 1533-position model. The record is from RNAcentral.